Molecule: transfer RNA, 68 nt
Filed under: Cercopithecus petaurista petaurista
Lineage: Eukaryota; Metazoa; Chordata; Mammalia; Primates; Cercopithecidae
Description: tRNA-Asp
Source: RNAcentral
GAGAUAUUAGAAAAAUUAUUUCAUGGCUUUGUCAAGGCCAAAUUAUAGGCCAGACCCUAUAUAUCUUA